Molecule: non-coding RNA, 114 nt
Organism: Acanthosepion pharaonis
Lineage: Eukaryota; Metazoa; Mollusca; Cephalopoda; Sepiida; Sepiidae
Source: the annotation of a GenBank genome assembly
UUACGGCCAUAUCACGUUGAAACACCGGUUUCUGUGCGAUCGCCGAAGUUAAGUAACGUCGGGUCUGGUCAAUAACUAUAUGGGUGACCGUUUGGGAAUGCCAGGAGCUGUAAU